GCAAGUCGAAUGGGUUCAGACCCAUGGCAGACGAGGUAGGAACACGUAGGUACGUACCCAAGAGUCAGGGAUACUCCGGUGAAAAUCGGCAUAAUACUUGAUAGUCCCUUCGGGGUAAAGAUUUAUCGCUCUUGGAACGGCCUGCGGUCUAUCAGCUUGAUGGUAAGGUAACGGCUUACCAUGGCUACGACGGAUAGGGGAGGUGAGAGCCUGGCC
RNAcentral lists this ribosomal RNA (216 nucleotides) under uncultured bacterium. RNAcentral's name for it is "partial 16S ribosomal RNA". It matches the Rfam family "Bacterial small subunit ribosomal RNA", at positions 57 to 305 of the family's 1533-position model. The record is from RNAcentral.